GGGUUGUGAGGUUAAGCGACUAAGCGUACACGGUGGAUGCCCUGGCAGUCAGAGGCGAUGAAGGACGUGCUAAUCUGCGAUAAGCGUCGGUAAGGUGAUAUGAACCGUUAUAACCGGCGAUUUCCGAAUGGGGAAACCCAGUGUGAUUCGUCACACUAUCAUUAACUGAAUCCAUAGGUUAAUGAGGCGAACCGGGGGAACUGAAACAUCUAAGUACCCCGAGGAAAAGAAAUCAACCGAGAUUCCCCCAGUAGCGGCGAGCGAACGGGGAGCAGCCCAGAGCCUAAAUCAGUAUGUGUGUUAGUGGAAGCGUCUGGAAAGGCGCGCGAUACAGGGUGACAGCCCCGUACACAAAAAUGCACAUAUUGUGAGCUCGAUGAGUAGGGCGGGACACGUGGUAUCCUGUCUGAAUAUGGGGGGACCAUCCUCCAAGGCUAAAUACUCCUGACUGACCGAUAGUGAACCAGUACCGUGAGGGAAAGGCGAAAAGAAC
This 493-nucleotide ribosomal RNA is filed under the name Escherichia coli. RNAcentral describes it as "partial 23S ribosomal RNA". It matches the Rfam family "Bacterial large subunit ribosomal RNA", at positions 1 to 524 of the family's 2925-position model. The record is from RNAcentral. Lineage: Bacteria; Pseudomonadati; Pseudomonadota; Gammaproteobacteria; Enterobacterales; Enterobacteriaceae.